This is a long non-coding RNA of Populus euphratica (Euphrates poplar), 1166 nucleotides long. RefSeq lists it as uncharacterized. The record is from RefSeq and is a predicted model, not a curated record. The transcript is spliced from 2 exons. NCBI's taxonomy places the organism in Eukaryota, Viridiplantae, Streptophyta, Magnoliopsida, Malpighiales, Salicaceae.
UAGUUAAAACCCAUAACUCGGAUAUUGAACUGGAUCGGCCACUUCACAAGCUAUGCUUGGGUUGGGUUAAGGUCAUGGUGGGUCCAAGAACACAUCAGCUAACUUCAGCUUAUCCAUCAAUCUUUCUCAGAAAGCAAGGGAACCUUCCGCUUGUCAUCAACCUGCCAAGCUACUGCAGACCCUGCACUCCCUUGUAGAACCCGCUGUAGCUGCAAAGCAUAUGGUCUGGUUCAUCAAGUGAAGGCACAUUCAAUUUAACAAGAGUCAGUUUUUAAUUUAUUUUAUGGGGACCAAGGAUAGUUGUUUAUUACGCUAUCAUGGAAGACAACAAAGAAAACUACUUUGAGUUGGUGCAGAGGGUGCCAUCAUCCCUCGCUACAUGACUUGGAUGCAAUAUUCUGAAUGAAAGGAGGGCACCAGCAGCCAUGAAACAAAUGGAAGGCUAUGUAGGUCUUGUCAUUGACACGGUCUCGAGCCGAUGGUAGUUCAGUGUGAAAGGGUCCAAAAGAGAGAUGUAGAUGCCCCUGGGGCCAUCAUGAUAGCUCCUUGUCCAGCCCAACGAGGACCUGCACGAACGCAAAAGUCUGAUCACGAUAGUGAUUGUAAUAAAGAAAGAGCCUGCAUGAAGGACAAGAGUGGAGCAGCCAUCAGCAAGGGUGAGACGCGGACCGAAUAUAUUAUAGAUGCCCCCACCAAGGAUUCAAAAAAUGGAGAAGGCAGUUUAGAGGGCAGUGGUGGCAUUAUUUGCUGCAGUUGCCUUGACCUGACCACCGCCUUCCAUGCCAGACAGGGCAUUGAACAUUCCCGGGCAGCGGAAACAGAUCAGACCUAUCAAGCUAACCUGGACAAGGGGUUGAGCUGAACCUGAAAAGAGAAGACCUUCCUUGCACUUUGACUGCUGCAGCUUCAUCUCCUCCGGCUCCCGUAUUCCCUUGGUUAAUCAUACUGUUCAGGCAGAAGAAUGUUAUAUGAGAAACUGAUUUGACAAGGAUGGCACUUCUGUCACACGGGAUGAAUUGAUGGCGUUUCCUUUGUAGAGGAGCCUUGAUUUCUGCGAUGGAACAUUUGCGUGGUCAACUAAUAACUAGCUCUCUGUAUUUCGAAGGGAUGAUUUCCGUUGGUAACUAAGAAUCCUGCUAUGGCACUAGCCAUUGUUCUUGUUUCAA